Long non-coding RNA from Cavia porcellus (domestic guinea pig), 5935 nucleotides. RefSeq lists it as uncharacterized. The record is from RefSeq and is a predicted model, not a curated record. The transcript is spliced from 2 exons. NCBI's taxonomy places the organism in Eukaryota, Metazoa, Chordata, Mammalia, Rodentia, Caviidae.
CGCCCUUAGGAUGGGCAGGUCGAAAAGGGUGGAAGGGCGGGGAUAUGAAAUCUGUGCGAGUGACUAAGGCGCUAGAGCCCGUGCUCUGACAAGCUGUGCGCUUUGCUAUUGGCUCUAACGUGAGGCGCGCGGAGAUGACGUAAGGAAGUUAUUUGAUUGGUUCUGUAAUUUCGGUGAUUGUAAAGACUGCUUGGAUACCAUUGCGAAGAGUCGUUGAAAAGGUCAAAACACCGCACUUCGGAAGAAAAGAACAGAGCUAAUUAAUCGAGAAAAUGCCUCCUCUUGAUACUGAUGUACUGCACUAUUGCAAUCUACCGAUCUACGGUAGUCUUGCAGAAAUUACUGACGUAUUAAUAGAGUUCCUUACCCAUCUGGCCUUUGUCGUAAAGUAGGUGUCUUGUGACUACAUGGAAGAGAAUGAGGCCUGUUUAACAGAAGAAGAGUCGGUUACAAAGUAAAUCCCGCAGGAAAAUAGGAGAAAUUCUCAUAGAAUGCAGAGGAAAAAGGCACAGGAAUUAAGAGGAGGAAAGAGAGAUCUAGAGUGCCUGACCUCGGAAUGCAGUCUACGUGUAAUAGGAAACAAGAGGCCAAAGCAAAUAAAACUGAAACAAUAAUUGCGGAACUAAUCGAAGAAAAUUUUCCAGAGUUGAAGAAGAAGUAGACCUGCAAAUAAAAAAUGCUCACAAGGUAUCUCAAUUUAAUUUAAUGAGAAGAAAGCGACACCUGAGUAUAUCCUUUUGACUUUUAAAUUUUAAGCAUAAGGACAAAGCUUUGCAAGUAUCUAGAGAAAACAGGUUACCUGUAAGGGAGCGAAAGUCAGACUAACCUCAGAUUGUUGUCUUACAAUUUUAAAUACCUGAAGACAACAGGACAAUAUUUGUAGAGUUUUAAGGAAAAUUAAUUUUGAACCAAGAAUUAUAAUCCCUGCCUAGUUAGUAUUUGUGUAUGAAGCAACUGGAAGACAUUCUCAGAUACCGAGCGGUUAAGAAAGUAUAUUGACCAAGAACCUUCUCUUAAAGUUUUGCUGAAUGAUUUACUGCAGCCAACAGAAAAAUUAAAUAGAACAAGGAGAUAGUUGUAUGGGAGAUUUGUUGGCUAAAACUAGUUAAGAAUAUGAAGUCUAAAAUUGUUUUACUUAGGAGAGUAAACCUAAACACGAAAUAGAUUUGUAAGCUGAACCUUAGAUUUUCAGGUUAUGUCAAAAUGCUUGCCAGAUACACAAUGUAAAUAUGGUUUUAUUUUUCCCAUGUAAUAUAAAGAUGGAUGUUGUUAAGCCAAACAUGUUAAAUAGAAGUAAUUGCUUGUAAUCCCAACGCUUGGGAAACUGAGGCAGAAGAACUGCUGCAAGUUCGCGACCAGCCUGACCUGUAUAGUGAAGACAAAGUCUACAGUGUCUCAAAAAGACAAAAAAAGAAUAAGAAGUGCGUUGUCACUGUGGGCAGUACAAGUACAGAAAAGACAUUCUAAAUGUUUAUGUGCCAAAAUUGGAAAAUGGUAUAGUUUUAAUUCCUUUAGAAAAAUAGCAAGCUCAUAAUGUUAAUACUAAAAGGGUAAGGAGAAAAUUUUCAAAGCACUGGUUAGAGAAGGAUGGAUAUGUUUCAAAUACUGAUUGGGAAAACCAGUAAUUACUACAUUAGGUGGUAGUUCAUAGAAGUUUUAUCAUUAAAUAGUUUAUAUGCAUUGCAGGUUUUGGGGAUAGAAAACAAAUGAAAACCCAAAAAAGAGUAGCACAAAAAAAAAAUACCAAGGAAACAUUAAACUUUACAUUAAAGGUAUUGACAGAAAAAGAGGUAAAUUAUACUCACAAACUGAUUAAAUUCCCAAUUAAUAAGAUCCAAAUUGAGUACAAAAAGUCAAUCUCUGAUUUGGAUACAUUUGUAUAAAACAGGUCAAAGGAGAUUAAAGGUAAUGGAAACUUUGUAGGUUUCCAUGUCACCAAGAAAUUCAAUGCAAUACAUAAUUCGAACCAGAUUAUAGUACCUGAUCCCAACAUCUUGUGAAAAGAAAAAUCAUUCUGCAUAAUUGUUACUGCCUAUAUCUAAAAUUUGAGGAAUUUAAGUGAAAAUUUUUACAAAAGGGUAAGAAAUACUACAAAUUUGGAUGUUAUGCCUCUGAUACCCCUUCUCACACAUGCCAUUCUUUACUUGCUAACGUAGAAGCAAGAAUUUUGCCAUUGAUCACUUGAAAGUUUGACAGCUUGUGUACAAUAAAUCUUAAUUACAUAUUCUGUGUACACUCCGGGCCAGAUGAAAAUUGUAUUAAUUGGAUCUUGUGAUUUGCUUGUUCUCUUACCUCUUUUACAAAAAUAGAUUUGCCUUCACUUUUCCAGUUAUAAGGCUUUCUCUGUUUCUCUUCCAUCUUUGAAACAUUUCCUGCUAGUGCAGUGGGGAUUGUGAUCAGAGAUUCUUCAUUGUGUUGCUACUAGUAAACUGUUUGACCUGAGCACUUGGAAAUCUGUGGGUGAUUAAACAUAAUGAUUAGAAGAUAACAAUAUAUAACAUGUAAGUUAUAGCAAAAGUUCAAAUAAGAAAUAGGGAAAUGCUAUUAAAAAUCAACUCUAUUGUUUCUUGUAAUUAUUUCUUGCCCCAACAAAUUACAAUGGUAUGGGGUAAUGUACUAGCUAAUAAAAUUUUCAUAAUACAACUGUUAUUUAUGGAGGCAGUCCUGUAACACUAUAAUUCCACUUAGUUAAAAAAAUCAAAUUUCACUUUAAUCAGUAGGAAAAAGAAAAUUCUAACUGUGAUGUUUUGUCAGGGCUUGAAAGCUGUAAGACAUGUAAUUAAUGGUACUGCAUUUUUUCUAGCAUUUUGAUUAAACUGAAAUUAGGUAAUUAGCUGGUGCCUGUGUUAAGUAACAAGGUGAAUAAAAGUAAGACUAAAAAGCCUUAGGAAAGGAUAAAAAGCAUCAGAGUUCAAUGUUUUAUUAGUUUUUUAAAAGAAAACUUUAUAAAUGUAAGCUACACAUUAUAAUUAAAUUUCUUUUUAAACCUAAGCUAUAAGUUAUCAAAUAGAAAAAGUGAAAGUUAUUUUAACAGUAUUGAAGUUUCUAUUGUAAUCAUUUCGCCACUUAAUAUUGUUCUUACAUGUUUCUUCAGGUAAUUCCAGUCUUUUUAUCCAUGUAUAGUACUUUUUCCUGUACUAAUUAAGUUAUCCUUAAAGUGGCAUAUGAAAAUAUUUUCUUAUAUAGUAUUUAUUUAUUUUUAAUACUAGUAAUUAUUUUAAAAUAAGUUUUUUUCUGAGGGUUACAUUUGUUUCCCAAUCCAAGCCCCAGAUAUGACUAGUUUUUUGUUUGUUUGUUUGUUUGUUUUGUCUUUUUCAUUUUUAUUGGUACCGGGGAUCGAACUCACGACUGCCUGCUUGCAAGGCAGGUACUUAUGCCGCUGAGCUAAAUCCCCAGCCCCUAGAUAUGACUAGUUUUAAGAAAUACACUUAUUAAUACAUAAUAGAAAUCACAAAAGCUUGAUCUUUAAAAGCUGUAUUAGUUUGCUUGGCCUGCAGAGACAAAAUACCAAAACCUGAGUGAUUUAAAAUAAAGUAAAUUACUCCAAAAUCAAGCUGUUGACAAGGUCAUGCUCCCUCUGACAGCUCUAGGGCUCUAAGACCACCAUUUCUUGUUCUUCAGAUUUUAUUGGCUCUUUUGUUUCUAGGUGGAGAUUAUGGCUAUUGAUUUAAGACCUGAUUUCUUUCUAAUAUAAGGUGUUUCAGAGGCUACUUUUUUUUGAUCAAGAUUGCUUUCGAGUAUCCCACAAAUGUUGUACUAUGUAUGCAUAUGUACUAUGCUUACAUUUUUUUAAAAAUUCAAACAACUUUGUAGUUUUGCUUGAUUUCUUCUUUGAUACAUGAGCCUUUUAGAGUGUGGCAUUGUUUAAAUAUUUUGAUCUAUUUUUAGAUUUGCAGUUCAAAAACUAAAGAGUAUCUGUAUAUAAUUUCAACCAUCCUGAUGGUAUAUGAUCAAAACCAGAGAAUUGUCAAAUACAAUACCACUAACCAUAAAGCUUAUUUAGAUAUCACAGUGUUUGUCAGCAUUCAUCCUAUAUGUUUGUGCAACAGUUAUAUGAGAUUUUACCUGUGAAAAAUUGUGUAAGCAUCACCAAAAUCUGGGCACAGAGCCAUUCAUCACCUGAAAGAACACAUGCUGAGAGGGUUGCUUAACCCCAAAUUUAUAUGAUCUUGUCUACCUUCAACAGGGCACCAAGGUGAGAGGUUUACAGGGACAAUGUUACACUAGCUACCUGGAGCUAUUUUCCUAAACCUUUGAUCACCUGGAUUUCCAGGAUUUCCACAUGACAGAGACUGCAGAGAGACAGUCCUUUCCUGAAAAUCCGACCAUCCCUCAACCAUAAAGAUUCCAGAACUAUAGGACUAAAAUAAUGAUCAAUCAGACCCCAGCCAUCUACUAAGUCUUUAAAACUGUCCGCUCAGCUGUAUCACAGUGUGAACCCCGUAUCACAGUGUGCCCUUUCCAGCUAUCUAAGCUGGAGUCCUUUCUUAUCUUCUAACUUAUUAAAUCUUUGUUCCCCUGUAAUUUGUGUUAUGUUUUCAAUUUCUGCUUCUACUAUAGCAAGGACCAAAACUAGCCAGCUGAAACAAUUUUAGUAAUUACAGAAAAAUAUGAGUAUUACCAGAUUUAAAAACUGUUUUGUGCUGGGGAUGUAGCUCAGUGGCACAGCGCUUGCCUGGCAAGUGCCAAGUCCUGAGUUUGAUUCUCAGUACCAAAAAUAAAAGCUAUUUAUUGUAAGGCAGUAGUAACUAAAAUGUUGGUUUACUGUAAAAAAUAUUAAAAGUAGUGCAUGAAAUUCUUAGGAUGUCUUUAAAUUUUAAAUUCAGAAAUGAAAUACUGUUAAAAAUAAUAAAAGACAAGGCAGAUUUCUAAAAUAUAAAAAUCUGUAAUUUUAAAAGAGAAAAUAGAUAUAAGCCAAUAGAAUUAUAAAGACUACUUUUCAGAGGUUGUGUUUUUAGCUAAGCAUGAUAGUACACACCUGCAAUCCCUGGUGUGGCAUUAAGUCCCUGGACCUGAGACAGGAACAACUCUGUGAGCUCAAGGCCAGCGUGGACUACACAGUAAGUUCAAAAACAGACGAAUAUAUAGCAAGAUCCUGCCUAAAAGAAAAGACUGUAUUUUUCAUAGAAGAAUCUUGCCAAUACUCCACGGAACAGCUUGGAAUAAAUGAUUAAGAUAAUAAGUAAAAGUCUGUGCAUAAGGAUAUGGCUCAGUAGUACAGCACCUGCCUGGCAAGCACAAGGUCCUGAGUUCUAGUUCCAGUAAACUCCCACCCCAAAGAAACCUAUGGGAUAUUAAUGCCAAUCCUGUGAAUGGGAGCCAUUUCCUUUGUUCUUAAUGCUUUCGUGCUAUAAAUAGAAAAUAAGGUGGGGCUUAUAAAAAUAAGACACAUUGAUAACAAAGAGGCAGCUAGGAUGAAUGACCAGGUGCAGAUUCUUUGGGGAGGGGAAGAGGCAUGGUAACAAAGAACUGAGGCGAAGUGAACAGACUGAUUUUCAAAUUCAAAAGCAGAUCAUCUUCAAAGAAUUGAAAAAGAUAGAUUCUGACAGCCUGUGACUAAAAAUAAUUUGAUUAAGGGUUUACUUCCAUCUGUGUAAAGUCAUUUCUCAGCAUAUUCUAUCACUGUAGAAGGAGGUAAAUCAUGUUUAAUAAAAAGGAAUUAAGCUUAGUUGGAUUCAAGUUGGAAUUCCGGUUCUAAUGCUUAAGGCUAGUAACAUGGUAGGCAGGCAAUUGGCUAUCUCACACUUUCACCGUCUACCUCAGCAAAAUAUGUAGAAAAGUAGUACCUGCCUCAAUUGUUGCUUUCAGGAUAAAUGGGCACGCAUCAGAUAAAGCAGUAAGAUGUCACUAAAAAUGUUAGUUGUUACUGUCAAAAUUAACUUACUGUCAAGAACUUCAUCAUUUGAGGUUGAAAUAAAGUAUAAAAAUUUCUGGC